UUGUAAACUUCAGCAGUGGAGCAUGCCUGUUGAGGCUUUAUGAGGACCAUUGGAAUGUCAAAUGGUAUGGGUGACGGGAUAUCCUGAACAACCUCACCCCUACCCGUACAGUAGGCUGCUCCAUGAGAGAAGAAGAAAGGAAUAUCAGAACCAAUCUCACCAGACCACUCUUGGAGCUCCUUUUCAGUGGCAACACAACCACUGAAUUGAUUUGCUGCCCACAGAGUUGUUGCAGCAUUACUGCUCCCACCACCAAGACCAGCUCCAGUAGGCACUUUCUUAUCAAGAUGAAUCCAAAAGUAAUUGUCUGUUCCAGUCUUUUUCCUAUAAAGAUUGAGGGCCUUUAUAAUCAGAUUUCUCUCAUCGAGUGGAACUCCAGCAACAUUAGUAGAUAAACGAUCCUUUGACUUCGAUGGUGACAGCGAGAACUUUAUUUUAUCUCCUAG
RNAcentral lists this unclassified non-coding RNA (446 nucleotides) under Hevea brasiliensis (rubber tree). The record is from RNAcentral. Lineage: Eukaryota; Viridiplantae; Streptophyta; Magnoliopsida; Malpighiales; Euphorbiaceae.